AACGUAGGUCACAAGCGUUGUCCGGAAUUACUGGGUGUAAAGGGAGCGCAGGCGGGAAGAUAAGUUGGAAGUGAAAUCCAUGGGCUCAACCCAUGAACUGCUUUCAAAACUGUUUUUCUUGAGUAGUGCAGAGGUAGGCGGAAUUCCCGGUGUAGCGGUGGAAUGCGUAGAUAUCGGGAGGAACACCAGUGGCGAAGGCGGCCUACUGGGCACCAACUGACGCUGAGGCUCGAAAGUGUGGGUAGCAAACAGG
Molecule: ribosomal RNA, 253 nt
Filed under: Faecalibacterium prausnitzii
Lineage: Bacteria; Bacillati; Bacillota; Clostridia; Eubacteriales; Oscillospiraceae
Description: partial 16S ribosomal RNA
Rfam family: Bacterial small subunit ribosomal RNA
Source: RNAcentral